This 298-nucleotide ribosomal RNA is filed under the name Ditylum brightwellii. RNAcentral's name for it is "partial Eukaryotic small subunit ribosomal RNA". It matches the Rfam family "Eukaryotic small subunit ribosomal RNA", at positions 1481 to 1776 of the family's 1831-position model. Lineage: Eukaryota; Bacillariophyta; Thalassiosirophyceae; Lithodesmiales; Lithodesmiaceae. The record is from RNAcentral.
CCUGGGCCGCACGCGCGCUACACUGACAGAGCCAACGAGUUCUUCACCUUGGCCGAAAGGUCUGGGUAAUCUUGUUAAACUCUGUCGUGCUGGGGAUAGAGCAUUGCAAUUAUUGCUCUUCAACGAGGAAUGCCUAGUAAGCGCGUGUCAUCAGCAUGCGUUGAUUACGUCCCUGCCCUUUGUACACACCGCCCGUCGCUACUACCGAUUGAAUGGCUCAGUGAGUCGUCCGGACUGGCCCAUAGAGGUGGGCAACUACCACUCAGGGCCGGAAAGCUCUCCAAACUCGGUCAUUUAG